Molecule: long non-coding RNA, 2620 nt
Organism: Clupea harengus (Atlantic herring)
Lineage: Eukaryota; Metazoa; Chordata; Actinopteri; Clupeiformes; Clupeidae
Source: RefSeq, a predicted model, not a curated record
AGAUAUCUCUCUCUCUCACACACACACACUUCAGGACCCAGGAGCCUGGAGAGGCUCCGUCAGAUGCACCGUGGGAGGCUAGAGGCUUCAAGGGGAGGCCAUCCCAGCCCAGACUCUGUGGCGGAUGUCGGCACACAGAUGACACUAUCAGGGCCCAGCCGGAGGUCUGGCAUUCCCAGCAGACACCUGGGCAGGAAAUCUCCCUGGGUAAUCGUCGCAAGGAAGCCGGAGCCAAAGAAGACACACACACACACACACACACACACAAACACAAGCCCUCCUGGUCUGCUCCCUCAUUUGCACUUGCAACAGCCCACUGCUGAGCUGCGACUCUCAAGUCCAGGGAGCAGACGGUUUGGCAGGCUUGGGAGAGUGUUUUGUUGUAAAACAAACAAACUCGAAAGCAAGUGAGACACUGAAUGCAUCUGCCUCCGUGUUUCUCUGUCUCUUUCACUUUCUCCCUCUGUGUAUGUGUUGCAGUUAUAACAGUAGACACAGCCGUGGUAGACUUUAUGGUAAGCUUACUAUACCACUCCUCAGAAUGUUGCCAAAAGUUCCAUUGAUUUGAAUGGGCCACCCCAAUGUAAGGAGAUCUAAUUUUUCUUUAUAUUGACUGCUGCAAGAAAGGAAUGACUGCAGCCAUUGGCAUUGCAUUAGGACCGGGGGUUGCUGUAGGAUGAAUGUAACAACAUAUGCAUGUGAAAUUUUAGGCAAGCUGUGUGUUUUGAUAUUUGAGUGUGUGUGUGUGUGUGUGUCUGCGUCUGUGUUACUAUGAUUAAAAGGCAUGCCCUGAGAGGAUGUUUCUUUGGAGAAACAAUAGGCCAGAGGCUGGAAAAUCAGGAAGAAACUUUAGCAGCCAGUCCACCACCUCCCAACCCAGGCUGGCCCCUGUGUGAACCUCUACCCUCUGGUGACCAGGGCAACCAAAUAUGUAGUGGUUGGGUCAAAAGGUCGACAGCUGACUUUCUGAUUAGAGCCGAAGGAAACGAGCGCCACUUAAUAUCACGCUAAAUCUCAGCGCCAGACGUAAUUAACCCAACCUGGACCGGGCUAGUCGCCAGACGUGUUUGUGUACUAAAAGUUGGUCUCACAGGAAACAAAAAGCUCAAGAACGGCGUUUAUCAUAUCGAAACUAAACUAAUGAAAAUCUGUGGAGCCAAAGUGAGCUUGUGCCUUUUAAGAGACUGGGAGAGAGGAGACAUGGAUUCUCUCAGAGGUUGGUUACUGAAACAUUACCACAAGCCCUAAUCUUAUCUUGGAAAAGCUGCAUAAGAAAAUGUGCUUUCCCUAUGCUUUGUCUUCUGGAACUGUUUACUGUGUUUGUUUGUUUUAUUGCCCGGUUUUACAGUUCCCUGGACAGGCCUGGUAAAUAAACCUGUUACAAUGAUUUAUCACCUGCACAAUAAAAAAUAAACACCCCACACCAUUGCGCCCCUUGUACCCCGCCAGACCGUUGCUGUUUGUUCUGCCUUUGGCUCCUAGGCUGCUGUGACACCUUCAGAUCUCUUUGAAGCGCCCUUAGGUUAGGUUAGGUUAGGUUAGGUUUUGGAACAAAAGUCCCACCCUGGAAAAUUCCUCCAAAACACAAAGCUUCUAGUCAACAAAAGCCCUUACGACAGGUGCAAAAACAUUUAGCAUGGGCUUAACCAAUAGCAGAGUGCAAGUCUGCCUUGAUUUUGUUCUUCCGCAUACCAAUAAAUUAGAACCCAUCAAUAUAUUUAGCUUUAAAUUGAAAUUUCAGCUCACUUUGUUUGACUUAAGUAGACAAGGGAACAGAUUUUGAUGAGAAGUAAUAAAGGCCGUAGCCUAUUCAGUUUUGUUUGUUUGUUUGUUUGUUUGUUUUUCUACACCAAUAACAGAAAGUGUAUGUUGGUUAGGAGAGUUGUUAUUCCAUUUAUGCUAGCCAGGGAUUUAGGUCAGCCACAGCUUAAGCACUAGCGUGCUAAGGAAACAGUGCCAGGAAAAGAAAAAAAUUGUGGCCAACCACAGCAUGUUCUGAGUAAUUAAGCUAAGUGCUAACUACUAGACUAAUUCAUUUCUUUUUCAUUUUUCUGUCUGUCCUCCUCUCGGCCAGUCACAUCGGAACAUCCCAGUGGUGGCUUGACACCCUGCCAGUGACCUCCGCAUGCUUCUGCCCUCAGGAUCUCCAGAGGUGACUGGUGGGGUCACUGUCCUCUGUCCUCUCAUUUACACAAUGACUUCCCCCUGGGCUUUACGGCCCAAGACAAUAGGAGUUUGGAAGGCUGAGAGGAGGGAGGGCAAGACAGCCUGCAGAGCUAAAGGUUAUCAGUUUUAUAACAGGAAUUGGAGCCAAAAGCUGGGAUAAAGAGGACGUAUUCGUUUGGGACAACUGCUUUUUUUCGCGGGGCAGGGGAGACUGCUGACACAUCAUUAACAUUAUUGUUAAGGAGACAAGUUCAGAGACAGGACCCUCGCCCCCAGCACUGGUAAUUACACGUGGGGACUUAAUUGGCUUUCAAACGUAGUGCCUCCAUUGUCAUGCGGUUGUCGUUUUUUUUUUGCGGUUGUAUAUCAAAAGGCUGAGGGUUUGCUAUCUCUACUCUUGACAGGUUCUGAGAGAACCACCGGGCCACCGUACUCCAAAUGGCCGCAUGUGAAA